AGUGAACGCUGGCGGUAGGCCUAACACAUGCAAGUCGAACGGCAGCACAGUAAGAGCUUGCUCUUACGGGUGGCGAGUGGCGGACGGGUGAGGAAUACAUCGGAAUCUACUUUUUCGUGGGGGAUAACGUAGGGAAACUUACGCUAAUACCGCAUACGACCUACGGGUGAAAGCAGGGGAUCGUCGGACCUUGCGCGAUUGAAUGAGCCGAUGUCGGAUUAGCUAGUUGGCGGGGUAAAGGCCCACCAAGGCGACGAUCCGUAGCUGGUCUGAGAGGAUGAUCAGCCACACUGGAACUGGGACACGGUCAAGACUCCUGCGGGAGGCAGCAGUGUGGAAUAUUGGACAAUGGGCGCAAGCAUGAUCCAGCCAUACCGCGUGGGUGAAGAAGGCCUUCGGGUUGUAAAGCCCUUUUGUUGGGAAAGAAAAGCAGCAGGUUAAUACCCCGCUGUUCUGACGGUACCCAAAGAAUAAGCACCGGCUAACUUCGUG
This 492-nucleotide ribosomal RNA is filed under the name uncultured bacterium. RNAcentral's name for it is "partial 16S ribosomal RNA". It matches the Rfam family "Bacterial small subunit ribosomal RNA", at positions 29 to 507 of the family's 1533-position model. The record is from RNAcentral.